UUCCAGACUCCUACGGGAGGCAGCAGUGGGGAAUAUUGCGCAAUGGGCGAAAGCCUGACGCAGCGACGCCGCGUGAGGGAUGAAGGUUCUCGGAUCGUAAACCUCUGUCGGAAGGGAAGAAAUUAUAUCAUGCUAAUCAGUGGUGUAUUGACGGUACCUUCAAAGGAAGCACCGGCUAACUCCGUGCCAGCAGCCGCGGUAAUACGGAGGAUGCGAGCGUUAUCCGGAUUUAUUGGGUUUAAAGGGUGCGCAGGCGGAAUGUCAAGUCAGCGGUAAAAUUUCGGGGCUCAACCCCGUCGUGCCGUUGAAACUGGCGUUCUUGAGUGAGCGAGAAGUAUGCGGAAUGCGUGGUGUAGCGGUGAAAUGCAUAGAUAUCACGCAGAACUCCGAUUGCGAAGGCAGCAUACCGGCGCUCAACUGACGCUCAUGCACGAAAGCGUGGGUAUCGAACAGGAUUAGAUACCCCGGUA
RNAcentral lists this ribosomal RNA (470 nucleotides) under uncultured bacterium. RNAcentral describes it as "bacterial SSU rRNA". It matches the Rfam family "Bacterial small subunit ribosomal RNA", at positions 329 to 792 of the family's 1533-position model. The record is from RNAcentral.